AGCAGCGCGAGACCCUCGCCAGGCUCUGAAGACGCGGCCUGGCCCUGGCCGUUCGGCCCUUCGUCUGAGCGCAAAGGCUCCAGCACCUCCGCGGCCGAAGCCGCGGGACUUUUCGUGGAAAAUGGGACCCAGCCCGAUCGCCAGCGGCGCUGCAGCGGACUCUGCGGGAACCUAGCUUCUGCUCCAGGACCUCCAGGGCCACCCCAGCUCGCAGGGCGUUCGCAGCGGCUCAGGGCGAAUCACGCUCAUGGUCCCCGUGCGCAUUUUCAGCCCCAGCCGGUACCUCCUUACUCGCCCUCACGACAUUCAUUCCACCCCCUAAAGGUCCUGCCAACCCCAGGCUCUUCCCGAGCAUUCCCGCCCUUCCUCCCUUUUGAAACCGGAGCAAAUCACGGCCGGGCGGAAGCGGGGGAGCCCGGGUGAGAGUCAGUGACUCAGCUGCGGACUCCAAGUGUCGCCGGAGGCCCUGGGGCGCAGGCCCAGCGGGCUGUCGCACAGCUCGGCUGUCCUGUGCCCCUUCCUGACGAGGCUGGGGAGGAAAGGCGGCCCAGAGAAGGCCGGACCAGCUCUCCCCGUCAGCCCCAGGCUCUCGAAUGACAGCGGAUGCCAGCGACCGGGGAUGGGGUCCCGGAAUUGCUGGGUUAAACAAGCUCCGGAUUCAGGCCUGGGCCUGGGCUGGGGUUCCAGGGUUCUGGACCGCCCUCAAAGAAGGAGCUCCCUGGGGCGGCACCUGGCUCUGCUUGAUAGCCCCAGGGACAGGGAGCUCACUACCUAUCAGGGCAGCUCCCCCAGUGCCGAGACCAGCUCGGUCCUGGAGACCCUAACCCAGCGGUGCUAGAGGAAUUAAAGAUACACACAGAAAUAUAGAGGUGUGGAGUGGGAAAUCAGGCGUCUCACAGCCUUCAGAGCUGAGAGCCUCCAACAGAGAUUUACCCACGUGUUUAUUCACAGCAAGCCAGUGAUAAGCACAGUUUCUACAGAUUAUAGAUUAAAAGUACCCCUUAGGGAAACAAAGGGAUGGGCCAAAAUAAAGGGGUGGGUUUGGCUAGUUAUCUGCAGCAGGGGCAUGUCCUUAAGUCACAGAUGGCUCAUGCUAUUGUUUGUGGUUUAAGAACGCCUUUAAGCGGUUUUCUGCCCUGGGUGGGCCAGGUGUUCCUUGCCCUUAUUCCGGUAAACCCACAACCUCCCAGCGUGGGCAUCAUGGCCAUCAUGAACAUGUUACAGUGCUGCAGAGAUUUUGUUUAUGGCCAGAUUUUGGGGGCCUAUUCCCAACACCCUAGCAUUGCUCACACUUGUCCCUGAAGUGUCACCUUGUCGUAGCUGGGCUCUGAGCCCUCUGCCCCAGGGAGGGGUGGCCUUUUGGGCUGAAGGGACUGAGGACAUAGCCGUUGAGCCUGUUGGCCAUUGCUCAAAGAAUGCAGCCUCCUGGUCACCCAUGUUGUCCCCUUGCCAACAAAAAGAGUGAAACACUGUGCAAUGUUUGAAGAGAUUUAUUCUGAGCCAAAUCUAAGUGACUGUGGCCUGUCACACGGCCUCAGAAGAUCCUGAGAACUUGUACCCAGAGUGGUCAGCCUGCAACUGGGUUUUACAAAUUUUAGGGAGACAUAAGACAUCAAUGAAUACUUGCAGGAUGGACAUUGGUUUGGUCCAGAAAGGUGGGGACAACUGGAAGUGACAGAGGGACUUCUAGGUCAUAGGCAGAUUCAAAGAUUUUCUGAUUGGCAAUUGAUUGAAAGAGUUAAGUUGACCGGGCAUGGUGGGCCAUUUCUAUAAUCCUUGCCAUGGGGAGGCUGAGGACCAUUUGAGCCCAGGAGUUAGAUACCAGCUUGGGCAACAUAGAGAGACCUCACUUCUCCAAAAAAAAAAAAAAAAAAAAAGUUAUUUUUUAAAGACUUAGCAUUAAUAGAAAGGAAUGUCUGGUUAAGAUAAGGGGUCGUGGAGACCAGUGUUUCAUGAUCAGAUGAAGCCUCCAGGUAGCAGGCUUCAGAGAGAAUAGAUUGUAAAUGUUUCUCAUCAGACUUAAAGAGUCUGUUCUCUCAGUCUUUAAGGGGUGUGUUGAUGUUACUGCUGGUCAGCUGGGCCUGAAAUCCAAAGGGAGGAGGGUACAGUGAGGCAUAUCCAACACCCAUUUCCUGUCGUGGUCUGAACUAGUGUUUCAGGUUAACCCUGGACUGCCCUUGGUCAAGAGCAGGGGUGCAUUCAGAUGGUGGGGGUGCUUAGAAUUUCAUUUUUGGUUUACACCACUGUGUCCUCUCCUGCCAGGGGAGGGACCCAGAGCUGGAGGCUUAGCCCUGGAGAUACCGGUGAAGAUGGAUGAAUGAGAAACCAGUUGGAGCUUCCAAGGUCUCUACCCACCCUCCAGACCUCCUCUGCUCCUGCCCCUGCCCAUUCAUUCCCAACUUCUGCUCUCCCAGCUCCCCUCCCACCCACAUGCUGUUCCCUCCUCUUCCAUCUUCCGCUUCCUGGGCCCAGAGACUGGGCAAGAUCCCCAGGGCUCUCCUUGCACAGCGAACCUCUCCCAGGGUGCAUAGCCUUGCUGCAAUCUUACACAGGGAAUACAUAAGCAAGGAAUACUUCUGUCCCUCUUGGACUCUGAAGCCAGAAGGCCAGGGCCUGGUUGGCCUCCUAACUGCUGUGUCCCAGGGCCAGAGCAGUGCCAGACACCCAGCAGUCUUAGCACCCACGAAAGCUGGAGGGACCCACACCUUCCCCAUCACUCAGUUGCAUCAGUCUAACGCAAUGGAUUUGGGCAGCUUGUGGUGGUUCACUGGCAGUUUAUUGGGGGACUUGAAGGAGUCAAGGUCAAGUGGGGGACUUCUGGGUGCCAGACCUGGCCCUUCCUUGGCCUGGGCUUGGGGUGUCCAAGCCCACAGAGCCAUGCAGGGGGAAAGAGCUAGGCAAGCAGGGUGGUUGAGGAGGUCAUUAGCGUGGCCUCGAGGGAAAACAAUUCCAAGAGGAGCCCAAAUUCGAAUGUCCCCUGGUGUCAUUGAGAAUGGAGAGAUUUAGGUUAUGAAUUGUGCAGUUGGUGGGUAGCAAGCCAGGGUCCUGAAGAUAGUCUGCAUAUCCCCUGGUGUCAUUGAGAAUGGAGAGGUUCAGGUUAUGAAUUGUGCAGUUGGGGGUAUCAAGCCAGGGUCCUGAAGAUAGUCUGCAUAUCCCCUGGUAUAUAUCAUUUAUAUAAGGAUGUUACUUAACUAUUGCUGUCUUCCAGAGGCAGCUUCUUGAACAAAUACUUGAGGUCCUCUAUAGGUUUACGGGAGUAGACUGUUUUCUCCAAGCAGGCCUGUCGUCCAUCAGGAGAAGCAAAAGGUUUUAUUCUAGAGACAAGUCCUUCCAACUGUACAGCUGAUGGAGUAGCCAAGGAAACCUGGUCUUUCCAGAGACACAUAGAAGGUGCCAUCUAUGAGGAACAGGCCUUCACCAGACAUCAAAUCUGUUGGCAUCUUGAUCUUUGACUUCUCCACCGCCAGAACUAGAUCAAGACAUGAAACCCAUGUUCAAGAUACUUUCCAGUGUGUCUUCAUGUGAUCCUCUGAGUCCAGCCAUCAGGCUACCAGCAGCUCUUGGAAACCCUGACAUACUUAUUCUUAGAAGACUGCUUUCCGGACUCAAAGUGGAACCUCAAAUUUUCAAUUUUCUUUGUUUUUAAAGCCUACACAUAGGUGAUGAUAUAUACAUGCAUAUAUAUUUUGGAGAAUUUAUAAUUCUGAAAACAAUGCUGGUCUUAUGGAACCCAUCCAUUCCCCUUUCCCCGUGUGUGCUCCGAGCUGUGGUGGCACGUGAAAAGGGGUCCUUCCAGCAGUGGCCCACAGCCCUGGGCUGCUUACUUGCUCACUUCAUUUACAAGAGCAAGAAAUACACAUUCUUGUGUUGUUUAAGUCAUUAUGAUGUGGGGAUUUCCAUUACUCACACACCUGAUCUAGUAGUAACACAGUAGCCUAUUUUAGCAAUAUCAUUUAUUCAAUAAUCCAUUCUUUCCCCAUUAGUUUUGAGCCUUCAUUUAUUGUGUACUAAGUUCUGGUUAUUUUUAGUGGUUGUAAUCUCCUUCUUUCCUACUCUCUUAAUCAUGGGAUUGCCAAUAUCUGCUCUGUGUUUCUGUGCCAUCUAUAGCCUCUGGCCUUGGUACUGCUUCAAAACUGAUAUUUCUAACCUUACUUUGACUUCUCCAUUCAGUGAAGUUCCCAUAGUUCAUCACUCAACUGCUCUCUUUCCAUCGUGACCUUCUGAACUAGCUCACACCCAGAUGUACUUUUGUUAUCUGCCUUUCCCCCUCAUAAACAUGGGCUGCUGCUGGGGAAAAUCCACUACCGAACUCUUGCAGGUCUCUGCAAAUGUUUAAUGCCCUGUCUUAGCCAUGACCUCCACAAUGCUGGGCUAUCCUAUGUUAUGUCCCCUAAGAUAUCCCUUCUCUCUUACCUUUGGGGAUAGUCCUAAGCUUCCAUCAUGGCACUCAAAGUCCAACCUUAUUUGUACCCUCAUUCUCUGAGCAGACACCACCGUAUUCUGUUUCACAGAGAAAAUGUGACUGCUGGGGAUAAUUCUUUCAACUUCCUGGCCUCUUCCUAUACAUGAUCUUUCUCUGUAUUCUUGCCUAUUGCUCUUCCAUGUUGAUAGAAGUGUCUGUUCUCCUUGUCAGUGUCUCGGCCUUGGAUCUGUCCCCUAGACUAUUCUGCCUGUGUAAGGACCUUCCCUGACCAGCUGGGCCACCAUCUCCUGCUUCUCCAAUCCCUCACUCUAGACUGACUCUUAACCUUUGGUCAACAAUACUUGAGCUUUUACAUUCAUAAUGGAGCAUCUGUGUUGAACCUUGUUCUUUUCUAGACACUACCCUCCGUUCUGUCUUCCAUCCAUGGUGACUUUUCUAGAAAGAGCAUCUAUCACACUGGAGACAGCAAACUCCUUGAUCCAUUCUAAUUCCUAACCCUGCAAUAAUUUUCUAUCUCCCUUACUCAAGUAAUUGGGAGUGCUCCUAGUGUUACCAGAGACCCAGCAGUUCCCAAUUUCGAAUUUUUCCGUAUUCACAUUUCUUGACUUGCUAUGAUUUUACAUCACAGAUUACAUCCUUCAUUUGAAGAGACUCUAAUGGAAGGCUGCCAUGGAAACUCUCUCAUGUGGCUGACCUCCUACCUCACUUGCUCUUUCUGAAUGAAGUUCCCACUUUUGCCUGCCUUAAUGAAAGUAAUGCUCCCCAAACUCAAGCCCAGGGCUGCGAAUUGGAAGCAGCUGGGGCUACUGUUUCUGGGUGCUGGUGUGAAUGGCAGGAUGUGAACACCAGCCUGUGACGGGCAAAAAGAUGGACACACAGGCAGAGCCUGACAGGUGCUGGUGGUCCUAUCUGGUCCUGAGUUGCUGGGACCCUCCUUGCCCACUGCCCCUAGAAUGGACUUUGGCCUCAGGUUCGAAGUGUUCAGAUGUGACUGAGAUGAGCCUUUUCCCCAUGCCUCAGGAAUAGCGAAGAAACUCUAUCUGGAAGGUUCCCCAGGCUUCCCCACCCAGCAGCCUCUGGUAUUAGACCAGGCAGUGGCUGGCCAGGAUGGUGGGGACAGAAGGGAGACAAAGGUGAGCAGUGGGUGGGGUCACAUCCUCCCUGACAUUGAAUAGACAACAUGGGGAGGAAGGAUGAGUGAUCUUUAGAAUGUUCAUGGAAAAUGCAUAUUGGGAAAAAGAAUGCAUGAAUUUCAAAUUGUUUUGCAACAAAAUAAACUUGUACUAACUUGUGAAAACACGUCCGAACAGGAUCUAGUUUGAGGCCCUAAGAAGUAUAAGACAACAGUUUGAACAGAGCUCCUAUCAGACACAUGAAUUCUGCUAAAAUUGAAACCAGAACAAACAUGCAAUUGAUGGUGAAGCUUGGCUGGAAACAUGGUGAAAUCAUUGAUGAUUUAUUGAAAGUUUAUAGGGACAAUGCCUCAAAGAAAUCAGCAAUUUAAGUAAGUGGAUAACUCAUUGGAAGAAGAGAAGAGAUGAUGUUGGAGAGGAAGUCCACAGCAGCAGGCCAGCCACAUCAGUCUGUGAGGAAACAAUUCAUCUUGUUUGUGCCCUAAUUUAAGAGGACUGAUUAAUAGCAGCAGAAACAAUAGCCAACGCUGUAGGUAUCCCAAGGUGUUCAGCUUACACAAUUCUGACUGAAAUUAAAGUUGAGUAAACUGUCCACUCGGUGGGUGCCAAAACUUUCUCCCAGCUCAGCUGCAGAUAAGAGAAAAGCGUUCUAUGGCCAUUUUAAACAAGUGGAAUCAAGAUCCUGAAGCAUUUCUUCAUAUAAUUAUAGCCGGAGAUGAAAUGUGGCUUAACCAGUACACUCCUGAAGGCAAAGCACAAGCAAAGCAAUGACUACCUAGAGGUGGGCGUGGUCCCAUCAGAGUAAAAGCAGACAUGUCAAGGGCAAAGGUCGUGGCAACCGUUUUGUGAAUGCUCAAGGCAUCUUGCUUAUUGACUUUCUGGAGGGCCAAAGAACAGUAACAUCUUAUUAUGAGAGUGUAUAGAGAAAGUCAGCCAACGAUUUAGCAGGAAAACACCCAGGAAAUCGUCACCCCGGAAAGCUUCACCAGAGAGCCCUUCUCCACCAUGACAAUGCUCCUGCUCAUUCCUCUCAUCAAACAAGGCCAGUUUUGUGAGAGUUUCAAUGGGAAAUCACUAGGCAUACACCUUCCAGGCCUGAUUUGGUUACUUCUGUUUUAUAAUUUUAAAAAAUCUUUAAAGGGCACCCACUUUUCUUCAGUUAAUAACGUCACAAAGACUGAAGUGGCAUGGUUAAAUUCCCAGGGUGCCCAAUUCUUUAGGGAUGAACUGAAUGGCUGGUACCAUUACUUGCAGAAGCGUCUCGACCUUGAUGGAGCUCAUGCUGAGAAAUAAAACAUUUUUUAAUUUUUAUCUUUUAAUUCAAUUUUUUCGUGAACUUUUGAAGUCCCCUUGUAUUUGUUUUUGGUGGAACUUUGAGUCUGAUUUCUCAGCUCCCCAUGGAUGGCUGCAUCUUAACAGAGAAAUGAACGCCAUUUACCCUGAUGCUCUCUACUUGGCCUAAGUUUCAGAUGUUGAACACACACGUGUGGGAAUUUAUGAAUCUGUGCACCUGUGCCAGCUGGUGGGUGAAGUCUAAGUUUCUUCAACACAAUUAGUUAUCUUCUGCCUCCUGGAAUCUGGUAGGAAAGGUUGAGGAAAAGCAGCCAUCCACAGCGCCUCCACCACUGGAAUGGGGGCAGCCCUAACGUGUGCCCCACUGCCCCCCAUGCUGAGGAGUCCUUCACUCCAGGGAUGUCUUCACCCCAAUCAUUCAGACUCCCCCAGUGUUCCUGCGUCACCUGAAAGGUCGGAAGCAUCUCAGCACAUACUCUCCAUGAGUGGUACUUAGGCCUCCCUCCCCAUCAAUACUGAAGCCCUCAGAGGCAGAGGGGAGUCAAGGAAAAGAGUGGCCAUCAGCAAUAAAUGAGUUACAAGGUUUGAUUUCAAAGAGAAAAACUUGUCACCAAAAUCACUACUCAGGAGAUCUGGACUUCCUCUGAAUGUGAGUUAAAGAACCCUUGAGGGUUAAGAGCCAACUGCACCUGAUCCCCACUCUCCCAUCCCAAGACCCUGGGAAGUCAAACCAAGAGGUAAUCAACAGAAAACAAGUUUAAUGCAACAGGUGACAACGGUCUGGAGCGAGUCCAUGCUCCGGAAGGCUCAGUCUGUGGCAGUCCCGUGGCUCAAGACAGGCUGAGGCCGGCUGCAAUGGAGGCCAGCAGCAGGAGGAUGGCCAGCCACAGCCCACCACAGCUCUCACCCAUGCUCCCAGCAUAUUCUUUGAACACUGAUGAGUUGAUAGGUGGCCCCUCUAAAUUGCAGUAGCGAAUUUUACAACACUUGAGGUAAAAGAAGGGCAUGGGCUCUUCCAGGAGAAACCGCUUCUCCUCUGGCUUGGGUCUCUCCAUCGCUGCACAACCAGCGGAGCACUGCUUCGCAACCAUGAAAAAACGUGGAAAUAUUUCUAAUAGGAAAUAAAGACCGAGAGAAGGCAAUCACGCAAUUCCAAUGCCUGACACCGAGGCCCUUCUGUCUGGGUCAAAGCCUCACCCCUGGCGGCCCUGCUCAAAGGUGCACAGUCAACUGGGGCACCAAGGGGGAGUCGGGAGGACGAGGGCCAGGCCUGUGUGUUGAAUGCUGCUUCAGGGAAGGGCUGGCUUCUGCGUGGUAUGGCCUGUCCAUAUGCACUGGGAAUGCGGGUCUAGGGGUUGCUGUUUGGGAACAAACAGGUCUCAACUUCUCAAACACAGGGUUGGCUCAGGCCUUUGUGACCACAGACAGACACAUGACUCCCAGCCAUUCUGGCCAUCACCCAGGGUGUGGAGCUGGCCUCUUGGUGGGCCUGGCUCGACUCUGAGCUGGGGGUCUUGUCUCAUGACCACACUUCAUCUUAUACAUCACUGUACAAAUCAUUUUGCCAUAUUAAGUUAUAAAGUCGAUGUGGGCCACACUGAGUCUGAAGCAUCACCUCAGCACCCCACCAACUUCGUGGAUACCGAAGGGCUGGAGAGUGACUGCUGGGCGGAAUCAGAAUUCACGAGCCCUGAAGAUCUCCCUGUGGGCAGAAUGUGCUGGGUGUCCAGAUUCCCCUUGGGGAGGGCUUCAUGUACCCAGAGGUUUUCAGGGGAAUCACAGAUGACAGAGCAGUGGUCUCCACAAUUUUUAAGGCAUGCACCCUCCUUUGAGAACACACUUGAAGGCUGUACACCUUGGUUUUGUGCAUCUCUUGUAAGAGUGACAUAGACACUGUUCUCUGUGGCGCAUUUAACACUAUUAAAGCUUAAUUUUUCAUUUAAAAAUGGAUGAUAUGAAAUCCAGAUUUUCUUCCUACCUCCCAGUAUUUCAUCUGGACCCACUGUAGCAGGCACUGCCUUACACUAGCACAGUUCCUACACCUCUCUCUGGCCUCUGAGGACUUUGCUCUUCACAUUUUAAAGGGAAAAAAAGGCAGGGCGCGGUGGCUUACGCUUGUAAUCCCAGCACUUUGGGGGGCCGAGGGCGGGUGGGUCACCUGAGGUCAGGAGUUCGAGACCAGCCUGACCAACAUGGUGAAACCCCACCUCUACUAAAAAUAAAAAAUUAGCCAGUGUGGUGGCGCGCAUCCAUAAUACCAGCUACUCUGGAGGCUGAGGCAGGAGAAUCGCUUGAACCCGGAAGGCGAGGUUGCAGUGAGCCGAGAUCACACCACUGCACUCCAGCCUGACUCCGUCUCAGAAAAUAAAAAAAAAAAAAGGCUACUUUCUAUUAGUUAUUCCCCAUUGAGGAAAACUAGACAGCCCUGAUUCCUGAAAGCCCUCUGUUCACCUGCCUUUGGGUCCCCAACAAGAGCGAAGAUACUCACUCACGGCCGCUAUAACGCAGUAUGGCUCUGUCCAUUUGCACCUCCUUGGGUUCUGGCACUCGAAAGUGUUUUCUCUCUCACAAACAUGACACCACACUCUAUUGUCACCCUCGUCUGAAAGGAGGAAUAAAAAAGAAAGCAGAAUGUUCCAGUUCUCCGUGCCUAUCUGAUGAACACAGCCGGCAUCCGACCAGCACAAACUCGGCGGGUCCCCAUCCUUCUCCCCCUGAGCAGUGGCUGGGGCCACAUGACUCGAGUGAGCCGCAUGGGGAGAAAGCAGGAGGGGUCUCCGGCCACGUAAGAGCUGCCCGCUUCCCCUUCGCCUUCCCCCAUGAUUGUAAGUGCCCUGAGGCCUCCCCAGAAGCCAGCACCACGCUUCCUGGACAGCCUGUGGAACUGUGAGCCAAUUCCACCUCUCUUCUUUAUAAAUUGCCCAGCCCCCGGACUUCUUUACAUUCUGAGUGAUUUUUCUUCUCUCCUGGGGGCUCCCCCGUCCUCCCACAUCCAAGCACACAACAUGAGCGCACAGCGCACCCCCACUCGGCCGCAGCACCCUGACCCCAGGUCGGCCACGCGGCACCCACGGGCCCUGGCAUCUCCCGGCCGACGGCUGUGGAAGUGACCCUGGGGCUUGGGUCUGCUCCCACGUGCCCUCCCGCCCACCUCCCAGGUCCACCCACCUCCCAGGUCCUGCCCCCCGACUCCCUCAAAGGAGUUCUCCCUUGGGUCUGGGUUGGGCCUGGCCUAGCUCUGCAGGAGGAGCCGGCCCUCCUCCCGCAGCUUGAACGGUUCUCAGCCCGUGAAGCCCCCGGAGGCCAGGCCGGCGGGAGCCUGCAGCCUGAGGGCUCCCGGGGAAGCGCGGCCGGAGCGGGGCAAGGGCUGGGGAAGGGCCGGGCUCAGGCUGCCCCGCCGCCCUGGUGGAAGCCGCACGAGGCGAGGCUCCCCAGAGGCUUCCAGGCGCCACGGGCCGCCUGAACGCUCCGUUCUCACGGCCUGGUCGGGGCGGUGGCCACGCGGUGCCAGGCAGACGCCGCCCGGCCCUGUCCUCUCGGCCCGUGGCUGUGGAGGGCGAGCCAGGCUCACCCGUUCGCUGGGAGUCCUCUGGAUCUCGUUGUCUCGCAGUCAGGUUGGCGUCUGUCCACACCCGCGGUAGGGCCACGACCAGCAGCAAGGCGAGCAGCGCCAUCGUCCCCAGCGGUGCCCAGGGAGGGUCAGCGCGCGGCGCCCCCUCCCCGCCCUUCUGGAACCUUCGCAGCCUCCGCGCGCCUCUCCCCGGGUCUGGCCGGUAGGGGGAGCCCCGCCCGCCCCGGGGCGCGCGCCUCCCACCCGCCGGGGCCUGUCGGGGUCUUUGGAGCCUCAUCUCAGGGCCUCGCGGCCGCUGGCGGCCCUGAACGCCGGUUCUGAGUCCCGCCUUGUGCUGCUGUUGGAGCGGCCGGCGGCCAGGCAGGAACGGGCGCGGGAGCCCUGGGAAAGGCGCGUGUGGAAACGCAGCCCCUGAGCCCAAGGGCCGUCUCCUUGAGGACCCCACGGCCCACAGAAAGUGGCCGGCGGCCAGGUAGGGGAUCUUCUCCGCUGAAGAGCACGGGCUCACCUCUGAUAACUCGCCCCUGAAUAGCUUUUAGCUCAUUAUAAUACCAAAAAAAAAAAAAAAAACAAAAACCACAUCCCUGGGGAGAGAUUCCAGAUGCUAAUGACACACUCCAGCGCACUAGUGUGUGAGGUCACGGUGCCUGCGUGCCCUGAGGACUUCCCAAAACGUGCUUACUAGUAAGGCCCCUGCCUGGGCCGUUCGUGAGUAAUCCUGUAAAACUCUCAUCAAGAGGGUCUCCCCAGCGUGAGUAGCGACUGACUCAUUCUUUUGAGCAGUUCCUCUUUCAAGCUGUACUGUUUUCCUUAACUAAAAGCUCAAAUAAGAAUUCCUCCUGGCGCCUGUAGUCCCAGCUACUCGGGAGGCUGAGGCAGGAGAAUGGCGUGAACCCGGGAGGUGGAGCUUGCAGUGAGCCGAGAUCGCGCCACUGCACUCCAGCCUGGGCCACAGAGCGAGACUCUGUCUCAAAAAAAUAAAAAAAAAAAGAGAAAGAAAAGAAUUCCUCCUAAGUCACUAGCUUUUGGCUCUAUCUCCUGAGUGGCAGGUUCUGUCUUGUCUCUCUGAGAUCCUGACUCUUUAAAUAAAGGUUACUUAACCCUAUACCUCUUGCUAGGCAUCUCUUGUCUGAAUUCCUUCCUCCAAGAAGACUAAGAACUGGAGGAUUUCCAUGCCUCUCACAGUGACAGUGCUACCCAAACAUCAGGGUUGUCAUCUAGGCCCCCUGCCCUGCACAGAAAGCCAAUCACCAACAGCAGUGCCAGGGAAGAAGGCCUCAUUCAAGUGCUACAGCCCAGAGAUGGGCGCUCAGUCACAAAUCCCUCUCCUCAGCCCACUAAAAUUAGAAGUUUCCAGAGCAGGGAAGAAAUGUCACCCUGUGUGGGAAAACAGGAAUUAGGGAGAGUGAGGAGGCAGCUAGGCAGUCAUGACUGGUGAGGGGUCUGGCCUCAAGGACCUACUGAGUUUCAGCGCCUUGAUACUGUCUGGGAGGCCCGAUGGUUGGUUUCCUGAGAAAGGAGCUCAGAUAAGACAAAUGUAACUUUCCCAAGUUUUAAGACAGGGUGGGCCAAUUUCUAUGUUUAUUCAAAAGAAACCCUAAAUACUAGUUUUACGAGAAAUUGGGCCCAUGUGAGUAGGCCCCAAAGGGCAAUCCACAGGUGGUGUUCUCCACCCUGCUUUCUCCUCUCAACCCUCUGUAUAGAGGCCCUCUGUUAACACAGGCAGGAGCAGGAAUUUCACACUCUUUUCCUUUCUUUGCUUUCUUCUUUGUCUUUUUUUUUUUUUUACAGUUGUGAUAUAGUUUGGAUCUGUGUCCCCACCCAAAUCUCAUGUUGAAUUGUAAUCCCCAGUGUUGGGGGUGGGGCCUGGUGGGAGGUGAUUGGAUCAUAGGGGUGGUCCUUCAUGAAUGGUUUAGCACUAUCCCUUUGGUGCUGUUCUUGUGAUGGAGUUCUCACGAGAUCUGUUUUUUUUAAAAGUGUGUAGGCAACUCCCUUUCUUCCUCCUGCUCAGGCCACGUAAGAGGUGCCCGCUUCCCCUUUGCCUUCCAUCAUGAUUGUAAGUUUCCUGAGGCCUCCCCAGAAGCCAGCACCAUGCUUCCUGCACAGCCUGUGGAACUGUGAGACAAUUAAACCUCUUCUCUUUAUAAAUUGCCCAGCCUCAGGUAUUUCUUUAUAGCAAUGGGAGAAAGGACUAAUACAAGUUGCAUCAUAUUCCAUGGCCUGGAUGUACCAUAGUUAAUUUAAAUAGCCUCCUUGAAUGAACAUUUGUGUUGUUCACAGUGUUUUUAUAUCUCACAUGUCAAAGUCAAAUACAUUAUAGGAUGAAUCUCUAAACGUUUUAUUCAGGAAUCACAGAAUUGUAAUUCUGGGCGUACACAGACCAGAAAUGUGUUUGGUGUGUCUGACGAACAAAGAGAAGGUUGAAAGUUUUAUUUAAGAAAUGUUACCUAUUGUUUAGAAAGAAAACUUGUGGGCCCUGGUAGAGGUUUGGGGAGCUGGCAGGCUCUGAUGGGUGAGUGACACAGUAGGUAGACCUUGUCUUUGAGUCACGGCAGGUCGUUCCAGCAGCUGUUAGGUGCACCUGAUUGUAAAGUUGCAGCAGGCGUUUCAGCACUUGGGCUUGCAGAUGGUUCUUGGAGCAGGUGCUGUCUGCCUGAGUGGUUUUCCUCUGGCCCUCUGCCUUGACUUAGUCGGGUAUGACCAGAAUAACUCAAUUUAUGAAGUCAACUUUCAUAUACAUGACGCUGCAAUUGUCCCUAAUGUCAUUCCUUACAUAUACCAUUAUACCACAGCUUUCCAGAAAUGAGAUCAAGGGACAAAAGUUAAAUAUAUUUGCAGUUUAUAUGAGUAUUGCCCAGUUGCUCUAUCUGGUCUUUGGACAAUUUUGUCAUUGAGGAGUGAGUGCUUGUUUUCAUGGUGGUGUCAGAAAGAAUGUCCUCUUAUUUACUCUUUGGAUUUUCACCAAUGUGACAGAUGAAAAUGAAAAUAGUAUCCGGGUGUAUUUUUAAUUUGCAUUUUUAAAUUAUAAGUGAGCUUGAGCACUUGAUAUGGUUUGAUAUGUUUGAUAUGGCUAGUGGAUAUUUGCAUUUUCCUGUGAUCUCUCUAUUUAUGUCUCUCGUCCAUUUUCCCGUUUAACAGACAUUGCUUAACAGAAGACAAUAUUUGAGUUGCUGACCAAUCCCGAAAUAGUUGUGAGGUAUGAUAUCAGCAGGACUUGUUUUCCGAGCCUUGAUCAUGACCCUGUGAUCAAAACAGGAUAUAACAAAGAAACUGGCCCAAACCAGCUAGGACCAAGAUGGUGACAUAAGUGACUUCUAGUUGCCCUCAUUGCUCAUUAUAUGCUAAUUAUAAUACAUUCUCAUAAGACACCACAUCAGCACCAUGACAAUUUACAAAUGCCAUGGCAAUGACCCAGAAGUUAUAUGGUUCAUAUAUGAUGCCAAAAAGGCUCAUUACAAUGGAUCUUGGGAGUAAUUUUUCAAGGAAUAUGAACAAAGUCUUCCCUCUGUGGUUAAUUCAUGAAUGCUGUGUUGGAAUAUUCUGGAUGGUCCAGACUUUCCUCUGUAAUCGACGUUGAGCCCUGCACAACUUCAGGAGGGCGCCAGACCUCACUACUCUCAAGGAAAAGGCUGAAGUGGAGGAAUUGAUUCCCACUGAUUUUUUUUUUUAAUUUUUUUGAGACAGAGUCUUGUUCUUUCACCAAAGCUGGAGUGCAGUGGCAUGAUCUCGGCUCACUGCAACCUCUGCCUCCCAGGUCCAAGUGGUUCUCCUGCCUCAGCUUCCCGAGUAGCUGGGAUUACAGGCAUGAGCCACCAUGCCUGGCUAAUUUUAGUAUUUUUAGUAGAGACAGGGUUUACCAUGUUGACCAGUCUGGUCUCGAACUCCUGACCUCAAAUGAUCCGUCUGCCUCAGCCUCCCAAAGUAUAGGGAUUACAGGCGUGAGCCACUCCACCUGACCUUGAUUUUAUUUUUAACCAUCCUGUCUGAGAGAUUAUUUGUGGAGGCUGACAGCAGAUGUGCAGGGUUCAACAGUGCAGUAUGCUGCAUUUCUUCAGCUAUACCUCAUAUUGUAAAGACUGUCCAGGUAACUCAACAAGCGGGAGGUAAGGGUUGCAGGUGGGAUACUGUAGUACACCCCAUUGGUCUAAAGGCACAUUUCCUUCUUUUCCACCCACUGUUGCAGUCCAGCCAGGCAUAACUUUAGGAGAAUGUGGUUAGGUAAACAUGUGCCAUUUGGCACAGGGAUAUUUGAAUUUCCUGGCAUGAGGAGUGGCGGGACUUGGACUAGCUAACCAUGAGAGUGAGUUAGUAGAGAUGUGGAUGCCGUCAUGCUGAUGGCCUGCUCAGAGUAGCACUGGGCUGUAUUCGCCCAAACACCCAACAGAGCCUGGCCAAAUGCAAGGCCCAGUCCGGUCUGGGGACUUCUCUGGAAUGCCUGUGCCAGUAUAACCGGGAAUGUCCCUCAAACAGAGAGAAGCAAAUUAUUAUCUCUUACUGAGCCCUUUGCUAAACAAGAAGCAGAGCCAUGUGGACCUAUGAGAGAUCUGGAGACACAACAUUCCCCAUUGAGGAAUACACCGCCCUUGCUAUUCUGAAUUCAAAUGGGUCCCUGAACCAAUAAAAGCAUGAAUGUAUUUUCAAGAGGUGGUGCAUGCAGCUUCAUGCAGGCCUCCUGAGCCAGUCGUCCAGAUGUGGUUAGGAAUGUCUGCUAUCAGGACACUUGCUGCCUGGGAACCCUUGGCAGAGGCCAGCACUGCCACCCAGCAGGGACCUCUGGUGUGUUGCAGCUGCUCCUCAAAUGCCUCUGGAAGACAAUAGCAACUUACGACUUCCUUACCAGGAAACAGCAUCAGAUAGCCUUCAAACCAGAAAUGCCUCUCAUGUCUUGAUGUCAGAGAACCAUUCUACCAAGAGGAGGAGCAGCCCAGCAAAGUCCAUCAAACGGUGAGAGUAUAUUCCAGAGCAGGGGGCAGGAGGACGUUAGGGGAGCCUGUGGCUUCUGCAGCAGAGGCAAUAGCAGAAGGAGAGGAGAGGGAGGAGCAGAAGGAGAGCAGAGGGAGAGCAGAGGGAGGAGCCUUCAAGGGCUGCUGUGUGUUCGGAGCCCAGCUAAAGCCAAGCAGGCCUCUGAGCUCCCUGCUAGGAGUUCAUGUCUGCAGGGCAUGUGGCUGCUUGGAAAUUAGCCAUGUAGACCUCACAGUCUGUCUUUGCCAGAGAAAGGCAGGGCAAACCAUAUUAUACACCUUUAUAACAUUGUUUCAAAUCCAGAAGUGUGAUGCCUCCACCGUUGUUUUUCUUUUUCAAAAUUGCCUUGGCUAUUUUUUUUUUUUUUUUUUGUGGUUCCAUGCCGAUUUUGGAUUUUUUUUCUUUUCUCUCUUUUUUGAUGGGGAGGGAUGGAGUCUCACUUUGUUGCCCAGGCUGCAGUGCAGUGGCACAAUCUUGGCUUACUGCAACCUCUGCUUCCCGGGUUCAAGGGAUUCUACCACCUCAGCCUCCUGAGUAGCUUGAGACUACAGGCGUGUGCUACCAUGCCCGGCUAACUUUUGUGUAUUUAGUAGAGUUGGGAUUUUGCCAUGUUGGCCAGGCUGGUCUUGAACUCUUCACCUCAGGUGAUCCACCCACCUCGGCAUCCCAAAUUGUUGGGAUUACAGGCGUAAGCAAACGUGUCCAGCCAGAUCUUUCUUCUAUUUCUGUGAGAAAUACCACUGAAAUUUUGAUAGGGAUCCCAUUGAAUUUGUACAUUGCUUUUGAUGGGAUUACUAGAGAAACAGGAGUGUAGGAGAGCCAGAGUGACGCCAUUUUAAAGCCAAUUCCAUUUUAAAACAAGCAAGGCAAUUCCUUGCCAGUCACAGCCCAUGGUCACAGGUGUUGACAGCUAAGGAGGGAGUUUAGUAAUGCCUGCAAGGACUAACUCCUACAGCAACAAAAUGUCCAAAUGCGCCAAUAUCUAAUAACAAUAUGUGCUUUUAAAAUAAUUAGAAUCAUGCUUUGAUGUACUUACUCACUAAAAUCCCAAGGAUAGUUUACUUUAAAUCAACAAAGUAAUAAGUUUUGUCACGCUGUCAACCCACCCACACAUAGACUUAACUUAGCUUUUACAUAGAUAAGACCCCUACAUGAGAGGAGUUUAAAACAAAGACAAUGCGUUCCUCCUCUUGUUUUCUGAGGAUGCCCUACUCUGCAUCUGAGUAGCUUUCAAUAAAUGAUCUCUUCUCACUGCACUCUGUGACUCACCUGAAUUCCUUCCUGUGCAAGACUGAAAAACCCUCUUCCAGCAACAUCUUUCUGGCGAUGCACUAAGGGACCAUAAGAUGAGACUAUGUGCUGGGGAAGUUUUGUCUGCAGCACCAGUUGGCCACCUCUGGUAAAUGGGGUCCUUCUUGGCAUCCUAUGUCAUGCUUAGACAAGGAUGCUCGCCUAGAAACUCAGGUUAGAGGCUCAGCCCACAAGGUUAGAUGCCCUGGGGUAUAUCUGGAACAAUGGAAGUCUCUUUGCAAGAUGUUUGUCAGUACAUGAUCUGAACUAAUCCACCUUGUGCCCUCUGCUGGGGAUGGGAAAGCUCUACUUCUCAUCAUUUCCCAGCUCAUUGCUUUGCUGUACUGCAGCCUUGGGGCAGCCCCAAAUGGCUGGUCCAGAGGUUUCCACCUUCCAGUGGCGGAUUCUAAUGUUCUUUAUGUGUUUCUCUCUGUUCUUUUCUGCCUGCUUUGGAUCUGCUGUUACUAAUCUGCUGCCGAGUGGCAACUCUGCUUAUCUCACGGUGUUGAGGUGAGACUCACUGUUUUUGGUAUUACUAAUUCAAGGCUACCUGGAGAUUGUCUUUUCUUGUACAGUUCAGCCAGUUCUGGCUAAAAUGUAUACAUUAAAAACUCAUUUAAAACUGAAGAAAAAAAUGAUGAAAAGGUUUUUUUUUUUUUUAAACCAAACUUCCUUAAAGACUACUUUACCAAAACUUUGGUCCACAGCUUUCCUUGGAUUGCGUGUUGGAUGUCUGGGUCAUUUCCAAUUAAGAAAAGUUUAUGCUAUGGGAAACAUGUUUCUAGAAUUGUGGAAGGGUCUUAUCUAUAAAGUGCUAACAUCUGGCAAACAGUGCAGGAUCUCUUGCUUCCUCAGUUUUCCCACUCACGGAUGAGCGAGUGCGCUUAGCUGUCCCUUCCCUUCCCUUCCCGCUCUGGUUUCCUGUAUGCAAUGUGCUCAGCCUUCCAAGCCUUGGGACACACAGGGAUGCUCAUGCUCCUUUAUGUUCCCCUAGGGACUAGGGGUUAGUGGACCUCACCCAGAGGUGUGGGAUCCUUUGGGUUCUGUCUGCUGGGGAGCCUGGAGCCGGGGAUCCUCCAGGUCAGCCACCAUCCUGUUACAUGGGGCUCUUCAGCCUUUCGGGUCCCAGGGCUGCAGUGCCACCCCAGUGGAAAGCCCAUUUGAGACUCAGAGGGAUAUUUGCCAGCAUGUCCUGCUGGGUCUCCCUCGUCCCCUUCAUUGGCUGCAUAUUUGCUGUCUGUGCCUCACUAGUGAUGCCCGUCAUCCUGAGCUUGCAUGCUCUGAAGUUUAUGCCUGCCAUUUUCCUUCUCCUGGUGAUUUUCUUUCUUUGGGUUAUUUAAUUCAGCAUGUCUCUGGGCAGCAUUGGAGGCCAAAAGCCUCCCAGGAACUAGUCUUAUUGAGAAGAAAAAUAAUUUUGUCUAAUUCAGAAGUUAUCUAAAGGUCAAUUCAAAUGAUGAACUUGAAAAUAGUUACUUAUGAAGCAAGGUAGAAAGGAGCCAGUAAGUAGGGGAGCGAGAGAUGUGAAUAAAAGUUAUGGAUAUGAAGAUGUAUUUUUGGUAAGGAAGGUUAUAAAGAAUAGCAAAUAAUGUAUGAAAAAGGAUCUCGUGUGGUAAAUUUUUGUCCUAAAGUAAAAUGACUAAUGAUUAUUAGUCAUUAGCCAUUAAUAUGACUAUUAUUAUUAGUUAUUAGUCAUUAAUGACUAAAUGAUUAUUUAGGAAAGAGAGAAGGUUAGGGCAAGGCAGAAAGUCCAAGCACAUCUAAGAUGGUCUGUGUACACUGGGAUAAAGUUCGUGAAGGGGAAUUUAUGAAAGGAAUUUUGUAUAUGAUUAAGUUGGUUAUAAUUGAAAGGAAGCCAUUUAUAACAGUCUUUCUAAAAAUUGGUCGCCUACGUUAAAACAAAGUUUUCUUGAGGUACUGAUUUGCUGUGAAUGAAGUUACAAGAAAUUUUACUUUCAAUUUUAUACCCCGUUUCUCUUCUAAACUUCUCAGAUCCAUAUUUCCGACAUUCCAUUUUUUCUGUCUCACUGCUUUCAGCUUUUUCCCCCUUGAGCAGGCCUGAGAUGAUGACCUUCUCCUUCAGCAUUUUUUGUCAGCUCCUGCACCCCUUUUUUCCUCCAGUUUUAACUGUUGGAAUGACCUGAUGCUAAAGUUUUAUCUUGAAGGUCUAGAAAAGCAAUGUUUUCUUCUAGUAUAACUUGAUUUUAUAUUCUUGGCUUUUCUUGCUGUGUCUAAAUUUUCAGUGUAAUCAGAAAACUUCUCAUGCUGUUCCUAAGGGUCACAUAUGCUCAUAACCUUAAACACUGUUCCUGUGUCUGAUUGCAUUCAAGCACUUCUUUCCUCAAGUUUGUCUUCCAGGUUAUCUAAAUGGGCUUCCUGUAAGAAGAAGCGGUCUCACUGCAGAAGGUUUUCCCUGCCUUUUUAUUAGCUGGCUUAAAAAAAAACAAGAUUUUAUGUUUUUUUCACGAUAAUUCCUAUACUGUCUUUAUUAGCUUUAUGAUUGCAAAAAAACUGAAAGUUAAAAGGGUUAAGGUUUUUACCUCCAUGUGACUUUCUCUAUUGCUUGUUAAAGUCUUUAUGAUUAUUACUCUUGGUUAAGUGUAUAACUAUUACAAUGACCUGUGAUUUUAUGUUAAUAAAAUGUUUUGAGCCUUUUAACAUCUUAGAGAAAUAUCCUCAAAAUCAAAAUCUUAAAUUUAGUCUCUGAUUUAGUCUUAUUGCUGGGGCUUAUUAAGCCUAUAGAAAUUAAUCUCUGCAAGGUCAUAGACUCUUUCUAGAACUUUCUGGCAGACCAUGAAGUCCAGUAUCACCACCUCCAGCCUGAAAAUUAUAUAUUGGAAGAAAAAUCAGUUAAAGGAUUCCCUCAGCCCCCUUGAAGCUGUCCUUAUCAAGAGUUAUUAACCAAUGCUUGUGCUUAGUUAAUAACCUGUUGUAGGGCUUUGACUCCUGGACACACAUAUCUAAAGAUGGCACUGACUUCUACCAGUAUCUGACAAAAACUCAAGUUAACUGAAGGCUCGUCUUUAGACCUGGGCAAAGGGGACAACGUAAACUGCUUUCAUGAGACACAAGGACAGGUCUGUAUUCCAAAACAUUAUGAUUCAUUUCAUAAUUUUGCCUUUAUCUGAAAUAAUAUAAUUUGUUCUAUGUCUAUGUGGAAGGAAAAUAUCUUGGGCCCCCAGAAUCACUAAGGUAGAGGGAAAAUUCAAGCUGGGAACUGCUCAGGGCAAACCUGCCUCAUAGUCAUCCCUCUGCUUGUAUUCAUAGUCAUCCCUCUGCUCACUGAGAUAAAUGCAUAUCUGAUUACCUGCUUUGGAAAGGCUAAUCAGAAACUCAAAAGAAUGCACUGUUUGUCUCUCACCUGCCUGUGACCCGGAAACCCCCUCCCUGCUUUGAGUUGUCCCACCUUUCCAGACGGAACCAGCAUGACUCCCUAAAAUGCAGAAAACCAAACUGUGCUCUGACCACCUUGGGCAUAUGUCAUCAGGACCUCCUAAGUCUGUGUCAUGGGCGUGUGUCCUCAACCUUGACAAAUUAAACUUUCUAAAUUAACUGGGACCUGUCUCAAAUUUUCUGGGUUCAUAUUUGGUAACCAUGGGGGGAUUCUGAGUGGAGGUGCCCCUGAGCUUUGACAAAUCUUGUAUUGAUGCUUGGUACAUCAUGAACUAAUUUAUUGCUCAAAUCAAUAGGACAAUUUGCUGAGGUCUGCGAGCUGCCCCUCCAGAGAAUCCCUGCUCUCCCAAAAUUUGGUCAAGAUCUCAAGUUUAUUUUGGUGUACAACUCCUUUAUUUUGGAGUUUUACUUUCUUCCAACAAGGAAGGGAAGUUUUCCUGCUUCCGUGAUAAUGGAAGGCAGGUAACUCCUUUAUGGAGUUUGAGCUCACUUCCAACAGCGAAGAUGAGAUUUUUCCUGCUUCUAGGAUGGUGGAGAGCAGUCUUCAGCCUGAGACCCAUCCCUGGGUAAGUAACUGAAUUGGGGUUUGUCUUGGCUAAAGUUAAAGUUAACAACCAGCUGGUCUUAAUUUCUUUUUACCAUUAGAGUGUUCAGUGAUCAUGUAAGUUGUGCCAUUGUUUGUUUUGCUUAAGGGUUUUUUUUUUUUUUUUGGUGUUUGUUUGUUUCUGUUUUUCCUACUGUUUCUCUUGUUGUUUCAGUCUUUUGCCCAUUGGGUUUAAUCAACUCUAUCCAACUUGAUCAACUCUGAAGGGAAGUUCCAAAUUAUGGGGAACAAGGCCUCUGAAGUGACUAAAUUCCACCCCCCGCCUCCCCUCCACACACACACACAAAAGGUGGUAUGGUUGGGGGAGAAAAACAGCCAGCAAAAGGAGAAAAAAAGGAAAGAUUUUUGAUUUUGACUACUAAAGGGGUUUUAUUUACAGAACAAGGCCACUUUUUUGCUAGCAGGCCAAACUGAAACAAUGGCAGUUGCCCCACGCUGUAGUUCCAUACCUAAGGCUCUGCUUUCUUUUCACCAUGAGAGCCUGGGUUUGGUGGGUUUGGUUCCUAAAUCAAGCCCUUUCUGGUUUGAUACUUGGUACCUCUGAAAUAGCAGCAAUUUUUUCUGACUAAAAUACGGUAAUGAAAUUUAAAUGGAUUAUUUUAAAAAGAGCUCAAUGGUUAAAAGUCAGUUUAAUUAAAAGGCUAACAUCCAAGAUGUACGUGUGUGUGUGUGUGUGUGUGUGCGUGCACGCAUAUGUGUAUGUUUGUCUUUGAAAGGUCUUCAUGUGUUUGUUUUUUGGUUGUUUUUCUCCUCUAGGACCUUGCCUUUUUUUUUUAGCAAAAGUUUUUUUCUUCUCAGUUGACUGAAUUCUGUUAUUACCUGAUUGUUUGACUAAAAUAGAUACUGCACAGAGGCUACUCUGGGGUUUUUAAGGAAGAGUGUAGUUUAGACACUUAAAAAUGUCUUUGUUUAAAACUAUUUUUUAAGUGCACUGUAAAAGCAUCACGUUGUCUAGCCUCAUAAUAAUUCACCCUUUUUGGAGACCCAGGAUUCAGUGUGGGCUCUACCCAGAGCUCAGAUAUCUGGUUAAAAAAAGAAAAACAGGUAGUCUCUAUCUAAAUAAAAUCAGUCUUCCUAUGUAAUCCAACAAUAAAUUUCUGUAAUUUUAUUACUGAGUUGGCAUCCAUCUUUAAUCUUUCUCUAGCACCACCAGACAUUUUCUCUGUGUACCUGAUAAUGUAAAUUUUGCUAUUUGACUUUCACCUGAUAUGCAGAUUUAAGGCUAUUUAGCUGACAACUGUCUAGGGUUCUGAAACAGGUUAUCAAGAAUCUGAAAGUCUAAGAUAUGAAAAAAGAGGUUUUUAUGAAUCUAUAAGAUGUACUUUUAUCAGCAUGCCUAAUAUGUCUGUAUUUAUGUGUUGUGUACACAAUGUUUCACUAUGAAAAAUAUAUAAAAGAGCUCUAAUUAAUUGGCUCAAAGUGAAAUAAUUCAAAAAGCAGCUAUAUUCAUUAAAUCAAUAUCAAUGAUUUAUACUUAAUACGUAAAUACUUUAUCAGGAAAAAAGGAAAGAUUAGUCAAAUGCUUUUUCAAGUUUGCAUAACUUAAGUAAAAUUAUUAAUAAAUGAGCUCGCUUUAAAAUUAUUGGUAAAGUAAUAUUAGAAAUGUCAGCAUACAUUUUUGUUUGCAAUUAUUAAUCAAGCAAUUUCAUACUUACCCCUGCCAAAUAGUAUAAGUUGUCAAAAUUUGGCAGAGGGUUUACAAAACUAUAAACCCGGCCCAAAACAUAAUGAUAUUUGCUUGUGUAAUCUUUAAUAAAUAAGUCAUUGAUAUUGAUUUAAUGAAUAUAGUUGCAUUUUGAAUUUAGUAAGAUUAUCAUAACUUCUAAUUCUGUGGCUUUAGGCAGUCUAGUGCACAGGCAGUAAGGAAGUUUGUUUUGAGAAAGGACUGUUAUAGUGUUUGUUUCAAAGCUAAACUAUAAACUAAGUUCCUCCCAAAGUCCAGGAAUGAACAAGGACAGCCUGGAGGUUAGAAGCAAGUUGGAGUUAGUUAGUCAAAUCUUUUUUCCCUAUCUCAGUUAUAAUUUUGCAGUGAUGGUUUCAUAACUUUAAAUCAUGACUAUCACAGUUUUCAUAAACAAUCUAGGUAAACAAGGUAAUUAGGUAAAUGUAAUGUGAUACAUACUUGUAGACAAAUUUGUCAUAAUUUAGAAUAGAAAGUUAUAUUAA
RNAcentral lists this long non-coding RNA (22832 nucleotides) under Homo sapiens (human). Its description in RNAcentral is "non-protein coding LNCOC1:8". The record is from RNAcentral. Lineage: Eukaryota; Metazoa; Chordata; Mammalia; Primates; Hominidae.